Molecule: ribosomal RNA, 256 nt
Filed under: uncultured bacterium
Lineage: Bacteria
Description: partial 16S ribosomal RNA
Rfam family: Bacterial small subunit ribosomal RNA
Source: RNAcentral
UACGUAGGGUGCGAGCGUUAAUCGGAAUUACUGGGCGUAAAGCGUGCGCAGGCGGUUAUUUAAGUCAGGUGUGAAAGCCCUGGGCUUAACCUAGGAAUUGCGCUUGAGACUGGAUAGCUUGGAGUGCGGCAGAGGGAGGUGGAAUUCCACGUGUAGCAGUGAAAUGCGUAGAGAUGAUGGAGGAACACCGAUGGCGAAGGCAGCCUCCUGGGCCAGCACUGACGCUCAGUGCACGAAAGCGUGGGGAGCAGACAGG